CCUACGGGGGGCAGCAGUGAGGAAUAUUGGUCAAUGGGCGCGAGCCUGAACCAGCCAAGUCGCGUGAGGGAAGACGGUCCUAUGGAUUGUAAACCUCUUUUGUCGGGGAGCAAAAGACGCCACGCGUGGCGUUCCGAGAGUACCCGAAGAAAAAGCAUCGGCUAACUCCGUGCCAGCAGCCGCGGUAAUACGGAGGAUGCGAGCGUUAUCCGGAUUUAUUGGGUUUAAAGGGUGCGUAGGCGGAAUGCCAAGUCAGCGGUAAAAUCGCGGGGCUCAACCUCGCUCCGCCGUUGAAACUGGCGUUC
Molecule: ribosomal RNA, 305 nt
Filed under: uncultured bacterium
Lineage: Bacteria
Description: bacterial SSU rRNA
Rfam family: Bacterial small subunit ribosomal RNA
Source: RNAcentral